UAUUUAUUAGAUAAAAAACCAACGCCCUUCGGGGCUCCUUGGUGAAUCAUAAUAACUUAACGAAUCGCAUGGCCUUGCGCCGGCGAUGGUUCAUUCAAAUUUCUGCCCUAUCAACUUUCGAUGGUAGGAUAGUGGCCUACCAUGGUGGCAACGGAUAACGGGGAAUUAGGGUUCGAUUCCGGAGAGGGAGCCUGAGAAACGGCUACCACAUCCAAGGAAGGCAGCAGGCGCGCAAAUUACCCAAUCCCGAUACGGGGAGGUAGUGACAAUAAAUACUGGUACGGGGCUCUUUUGGGUCUCGUAAUUGGAAUGAGAACAAUUUAAAUCCCUUAACGAGGAACAAUUGGAGGGCAAGUCUGGUGCCAGCAGCCGCGGUAAUUCCAGCUCCAAUAGCGUAUAUUAAAGUUGUUGCAGUUAAAGAGCUCGUAGUUGAACCUUGGGUCUGGCUGGCCGGUCCGCCUCACCGCGAGUACUGGUCCGGCUGGACCUUUCCUUCUGGGGAACCUCAUGGCCUUCACUGGCUGUGGGGGGAACCAGGACUUUUACUGUGAAAAAAUUAGAGUGUUCAAAGCAGGC
Molecule: ribosomal RNA, 576 nt
Filed under: uncultured eukaryote
Lineage: Eukaryota
Description: SSU rRNA
Rfam family: Eukaryotic small subunit ribosomal RNA
Source: RNAcentral